GGAGGUAGGAGGGGUGUCUGUCUGUCUGUCUGGAGGUAGGAGGGGGGUCUGUCUGUCUGCCUGUCUAGUGAUCUACCAGAUCUGUAUGGAGGUAGGAGGGGUGUCUGUCUGUCUGUCUGUCUGUCUAGUGAUCUACCAGAUCUGUCUGGAGGUAGGAGGGGUGUCUGUCUGUCUGCCUGUCUAGUGAUCUACCAGAUCUGUCUGGAGGUAGGAGGGGUGUCUGUCUGUCUGUCUGUCUAGUGAUCUACCAGAUCUGUCUGGAGGUAGGAGGGGUGUCUGUCUGUCUGCCUGUCUGUCUAGUGAUCUACCAGAUCUGUCUGGAGGUAGGAGGGGUGUCUGUCUGUCUGUCUGUCUGUCUAGUGAUCUACCAGAUCUGUAUGGAGGUAGGAGGGGUGUCUGUCUGUCUGUCUGUCUGUCUAGUGAUCUACCAGAUCUGUCUGGAGGUAGGAGGGGUGUCUGUCUGUCUGCCUGUCUGUCUAGUGAUCUACCAGAUCUGUCUGGAGGUAGGAGGGGUGUCUGUCUGUCUGUCUGUCUAGUGAUCUACCAGAUCUGUCUGGAGGUAGGAGGGGUGUCUGUCUGUCUGCCUGUCUAGUGAUCUACCAGAUCUGUCUGGAGGUAGGAGGGGUGUCUGUCUGUCUGUCUGCCUGUCUAGUGAUCUACCAGAUCUGUCUGGAGGUAGGAGGGGUGUCUGUCUGUCUGUCUGUCU
This is a long non-coding RNA of Oncorhynchus tshawytscha (Chinook salmon), 706 nucleotides long. The record is from Ensembl. Lineage: Eukaryota; Metazoa; Chordata; Actinopteri; Salmoniformes; Salmonidae.